This is a non-coding RNA of Paramormyrops kingsleyae, 5629 nucleotides long. Lineage: Eukaryota; Metazoa; Chordata; Actinopteri; Osteoglossiformes; Mormyridae. The record is from RefSeq and is a predicted model, not a curated record.
CCCCCCUCACUUCACGCUCAGUGCGAGGUUAAACACAAGCUGAAAUACAGUACCGAAGACCUCAGAAAGGGCAUUUCCACUUGGUUAAAAAUGCUUCAUCUAACCCGCAUGAUGUUUAACCUCACCAUAAACCUAUAGUACUUGCACUAAACAUGCUAAACUGCACUCUGAGCCCAGGUUUGCAAAACAAGUCGACUGACGGUUAGUGUUCCCCCUGGUUUGCACGUCGACAUGUGAGGAGUGUCUCAGCAUGUCUGUCAGCUUGUGUCACCAAAGCGAACAGAAAAGGAAAAAAAAGAACCGUAACCAAAGUCUUAGGGUUUUUCAACAAAACUGCAUUUUCCCGCAGUGCCAUGUUCACUGCCAGUGUCAUCAACUGUAAAUAUCUCCUCUGCAAUAUCAGAAUUUGGCUUCCUGAAAACAAACCACUAUCUUGCACAACAGCUUGUUGAUGAAUGCCUGAACCCGAUGUUAUGUUCCAGCAGCAUUCUUAACUGCUAUGCCGAUUAUUACCUAUUCAUCUUUCAGGCUAAAACUUUGACUCUGGGAUAAACGAUUGUGUGUGUUUUUGAAAGAAGCUGCCAUCUCUUACUUCAAGGCUUUGGCUUGUAAUUCUUGAGGGGGGAACAGCUUUCUUACAUGAACAGCGAAGGUGAAGGCUUUACUCCGCAAUUGUCUUGCAUCCCAAAGUGUUUCAGUGACUUGUGCGAUGAUUCCUGAUGUUAUAAAAAAACUUUUAGCAGUGAUGGCGGUCUUCUGACCUCAUGAAAAACCGAGAGCCAUGUCGCCAAGUCCUGAAACAGUGGGCGCAGUAGCUUGUGCAACAAAAACAGGAAAUCAGAAUCCAUACAAGCCGGGGUUAUGAUAGCUAGCUGGGCAGAUCUGCAGCGAACGAUCGCGAAACCAUUCUGUCACCACGCCAUGCUGCUUCUUAGACGGUUUUUAUAAGCAGGACGACCCGAAAACUGUUAGCGUGUUGAAAGGCUUCAGCAUGUCGUGGGGCAAUAUUUGCCAAUUGUUUCCAAACACGCUUUCUCUCUUCUAACCUCCCUGCCGAGUCAUUGGGGUUGGUGUCAGCACAAAUGACAUUUAAAGGAGAAAAUUGAAGGUGUUAGGCUUCUUUAGAGAUCCAUAUUUGAGUGUUCAGUGAGGGUCUGAAACUUGCAGGUCACUUGAACACUUUUUUUCAUUCAGUUACCGUCCAACUCAUAGGUAUGGAGUGGAAUGAUUCAUCAGUUGUAAAACCAGAUCAAGACACACAAGGGAAAAUGACUGAGUCAGACUCCCGGUCAUUCUGACAUUUUGUUGUUUUGUGUCUUAUAACAGCACUGACAUGCAGCGUGCCAAGUCUCUCCUCUUCUGAGCUAAUACAUCAAGUUCAUAUUCACGUGGCUAUUAUUAAUUUGUCAUUUUAUUUGAAAUGCCACAGCGAAGUAUGAGAGGAGUGGACAGUACAAGUACUGCAGAUCUGGAGAUGAUGUCAAAGCCUGGAAAUGAGGGAGGUGGAAAUUUUGUAGAACCUGUGGAAUAGGCUGGCUGCCGUCCGCCUUACGUCUGCUGCCCUUGCUGCCUUUUUCCCCACCUUGCUCACCCUUCCUGGGCCUCCUCGCCCCUGAGAGGUCAAACGUGUCCACGCCCGGUUGGGCUUGGUGUGUGUGACCUAAAUCGGCACAAUGGUGAACCAUCAGCCUGAGGAAAUUGUGCCUGUUGGGCUUGUUUUGGUGAUUUUUUUACACCUCAGAUUCUAGUGCCGGUAUGCUGACGGUGCCGAGUGACUGUAGAAACAUGAUCUUGGCUAUUUCCUGUUUUAAACAUCAUCACAGGACUAAGGAUAAAUUUAGUUACUCACUGUCUACUCCCUAGUAGUAGCUAAACGAUUCAAGUAUAAUAUGUAUGUAUAAUAAGCUGUCGACUUUUUGUGAUAAAGGGACAUUUAAGAUGUUCUCCUGCAUGCUUGUCAAUUCGUCUGCUUGUCUCUUUUUUUGUUUGAUCCCUUGCUGACAUUUCUGUGCCACUGGCAAGAGGGUCACGACUGUUUGUUAAUGUGUUUCUGGGCUGUCCUGUGUCGCGCCCCAAAGGAACCAGAGGCUCCGGUGAGGCAAGUUACUCCCUGUGAGACACACACAUACACACACACACACACACACACACACACACACACACACUGCGGGUCACGUUAGGCCACGAGAAAAGGAAACAGACCCAACUUACAGGGCAAGGAAACCUUUUUCAGCAAAUCAAGAUAAAACUCUAAAAUAAAAAAAAUGGCUUUUAAAAAGUAUGAACUGCAUUAUGGAUCAAAUGAUUAAUGGCUGAGUGGCUGAAUAUGAUAACGAUGAUAAAUAUUAUCUUUACUAAGCCUUAAGCUGGGUUCAGAUUUCUUAAAGAGCAUUUAAAGAAAUUCUCUCCCUACAGGCACUUUUCUGAAAGGAAAAUAACAUUUCAAGUGGGUGAAGGUCAGCUUGCCCUAACUUUGCUUUCACUAAAAAAGGAAAAUAUACAGAUCAUCUUUAGCUGAAGCAGUGUGAACAUGUCUUUAGUCACGAUCGGCCAAACAGAUCCGAGACUAGUGAGAGAUUUAAAUCAGAAAUGUGUUGUGAUAAGACAGACAGUGUUUCCUGAUUUUCCCCACCAAUUUUCUGGAUCUUGAGAGCCUCCGUGCAGCUGCCUGUCACAUGAAUGCUGCAAUGUGCUGCGAUGUGAAUGGGAGGCCUGUUGGACGCUGCGAGAACGCCAGUACUGCAGGCUGGGCAGUCAUGGCAGGCGUGUGCGCAUGUGCGUGUGUGUCUGCGCAUGGAGGCUGAAGCCUGCUUGUACAGCUGCAACCAGGCCAGUCCAGACAAAUCGGAGCUUGCCGAGCAAGGAUAUGUAUGCGUCUGAGUGGGUGGGGAGGGGCGAGGCCCUCUUGGCGGAAUGCGGAAUCCUGAGUGUGGCAGGACUCUCCUUCACGAUCAGCCAGACAAGUGUCACGAUCUUUAUUGCCUCACACCCAAGGCUGGAGAUGCAGCAUGUUACUGUUGGGGACACCAUGACAUUACACAGUUAAGAAGUACAUACAGAGAAUAAACACAAGACUUGGUAGAAGAUGCACAACGGUGAGGAGCAAAUGCAAGUGAUGGAAAAACUUUCCAUGCCUCCUCCAGCUCAUUUACCGAUUCAAUGGAAAGUGUCCUGGAUUCUUCUACGGGAGAUUUGCUGGAUUACGGCUGCGGUUUCGUAAAGAGAAGGAAAAGCUGUCUUGAAGCACGCACUGGCCCUCUGCUCUCAGCGAAACAUUUGUUCCCCCUGGGAAGCCGCCACAACAAUCACUCAUCUAUCUGAGAAACAAAGCGAUUUCUUGUGUAGGCAAACACAUACUUCGGCUUUGUGAUCGAUUCUCAACAGGACAAGAUUUCCACGUGUUUUUGCUCUGUGGGUGACUGACAUCCCAUCCGGGGUGUUACUCUGCCUUAUACCCGAAACACCCUGAUCAGGCUCAUCUCUCCCUACAACCCUGUACUGCCUGGAAAUUUUCCUCUCAGAAUAUCUAUUUUGUUAAGUAAUCAGCCAGAUUUGUGUAAGUGAUGGUGAAAAUUCGACGGCUUGUUGUUCAGGUCCUGAACUGAUGAUGUGUUCUUUGUUUUCCCAGAAUCUGGGAUGUUUUUUUUUCCCCCCCUUUUCUUUCCUCCAUAAUCUUUAGCGUACUUCAGUAGUGAACCCGUCACACUUCGCCAAAACCCCAUCCAGCAUAAAAAUACGACUACGGCGUUCAUCGAAAUUUGCAUCAUUUGUGUUUUUUGUACCUGUCCCCUAGAUAGCGAGAGUCAGGUGUUCCCUUUAAGCACACGCAGGCACCCAUCCGGGUUCUUGGUGCAGUUCCGUAUGUUGGAUUCCAGAACCACCUGCUGACUGACAGUGACAGGCCAGGUAGACCGCUGCAGUGCAGACCAAAAGAGGUGACGUUACAAGGGCAUGACCUAUAGGUGUCUUUGGACACCUGAGGACGGUGUGUUGAGAAGACAGUCGAUCUCACAGCCAUGCACACAGAUUUUGCUUCCUUCGUUUCUGUUGCAUCACCUGAUUAUAAUGUUAAUCUGUAGUUGUUGCAACUGGAUGUGCAUCCAUGGACUCCUGGCCAUGGGUGGGAUGGGGGACCUGGAGCGUAUCAUAGGUAGCCCAGGCCAAAGGGCAUGACUAUGGAGCACACCAUGGAUGGGAUGCUAGUUCAUCGCAGGACACACACAUGCACAAGCUCUCACACUAUUCAGCUGGUGAUUUUCUGCGUCCUGAGGAUUCGAAUACUCUCACCGCAGCUGGUAAUCUGGCCGUGUGUCAUUAUAUGUGGAUAAACCCAGGGCUCUGUGUGUGUCGGCCUCCUAUGCACGUUUCCCCUGGCUGGACGAUGCCAUGGAGCCAGUGUCGGAAUGGCAGCUGAGGUCAGUAUAGAAUCCAGACGGCGGCCAUGUUGGCCUUCCUCUAUCAAUGACCCACCUAUCCCAUGGUCCACUAGCGUUUCAUCUGGUGGGUGAAACCAGGACAUGUCAUGACAGCACCCAGCCAAGCAUCCAUCCAGCUGGAGACAUUGAAAAUGGGGGGGAUGUGUCUUUCUAUCUUUCAUUAUGAAUCCAUACAUUACUAAGGCCAGUUCGCCAAGCAUGCAGAGCGUGAUGACAAAACUUAUAUUUGACAAAACCAGAUUAUAGUCCUCUGUCAAACUCAUUUUGUCGUAUGGGUCAGUUAUUUUUUAUAUUUAGUAGUAAAGCUGCACCUUAAACAGUGUCAGUCUUAUUUUAAAUUAUGAAAUCUUAAAUAUUCUAAAAUAAUUUUAAAAUCUUUCUUGCAUCACGAUGUGAGUGUUGCAUGUCCAUUGUGAUGUCACAAUAUACGUCACCCUGCCCCACCAUGCUGAGAAAAAUUUGACCCCCCCCCCCCAAUGUCAAACUUCUUACGCCACUACAUCCAACCACACUGAGCCAGCUCUGGCUGCACCUCCCCUGAAUACUAAGGCCCAUCAGUGUAAUUAAUUAGCAUAGCUUAAAAGUACUGGAUUUACAGCAGUGCCACGCAAAGACUUUUUGAGAGGCAUUAAAGGGGCAGUCCGUACAUUUAAAGGGAGGGUCUCUAAACAGACAAAAGGGAUUGGUGCUCAGAUUUGUGAUUAUUAGAAUUUGUUCUUGUAUAUGUUUUGUGACUUUCUUGCGUCUCUUGCUCUGGUUUUGGUGCUUCUCUCAUUGUUGCUCUUAUCGAACUCGUGACCUUCUGCCUGGGUUCGGACAAUGGAUUCAGAUCAAUUUUGGAUUCGGUUUUUUGGUUUGGAUGUACCUGUGCCUGCCCUCUGACAUGCAUAUUUUUGGACUGUGACUCUCAGGCAUUGACUCUGGAAAUAAACAUGGUGUUACCGCAAGUGGAACUUCUCUUGUCUCGUCAUUACAGAGAAAGCAAAAGUCAAUGCGACAUGUUCUGCAUCAAGGGCAAGGCGGAAUCCUCAGUAGCUGCCGCAUUCCAGCCUUCAUCCAUGUUCUGAUCUCUUUCCACAAACUCUUAACAGCGGUUGCAACCACAGCACCUUGUGAUAUUUUUAAAUGUUCCCUAAAUGCUGUUAGCGUUAUGUCUUGUCUUUCGAUUUGAAUAGCUGUCUAAUUAGUUUGUG